UUUAUUUUUUUUUUUUUCCUUUCUGCAACUUCCUUUUAUGGAUCUGAAUGUUGCUAUAAUGUACAAAUGAAGAUUUUCUUGCACCCUCUGUACUGAAGUAUUUUACAUGGUGGUUGGAUUCAUUAAAUGCUGUUAGAUACAAGUGCCUGCCACCAUCAUUACUGACAGAAUUUCAGAAAGAUACUCUGCAGAACAAGUGGGGUUUGUAUUUAAAAAAAAGGGAUUUGGAGUGUUGUUUUUGUUUAAUUUUGUUUUUAAAUGCAUCCAAUUAUUAAUGCUGCUUGGAGAUCUAAUUUACUUUGGAAAACAGGGGGCCUUAACUUAACCUGGGACCGUUAGCGUUUUACUUGUUUCUAUUUAAAAAAAGAAAUUGUAUGAAUUUCCCAAAUACCAUUGGUACUUGCACACUUCUCUGAAGUAUUAUGAAGAGUUGGGUUGGUGGAAGAAUGUUUUACAUAUUGUUAACAUAUAUGUGGAUAUUCUUAUAUUAUUGUACAUGUUUGGGAAAAUAUCACACAACUUUAAAAAUGUUACUAAGAUGUAUGUAUCUGACUUUUUCCUUUGGAAAAUAUUAUAUAUUUUUAUUUGUAUUUUUUACUUUUUUAAGUUCAUCUAUAUGUGCCGUUAUUUUUGUAUUGCAAAUGGUCUCAUAAGCGCAGUAGAAGAGAUAAAAAUACAAAGAAAAGUAAUUUGGUAAGGAUUACAAUGCUUGGGGGGAAAAACACAAGGAUCAGUAUUAUAAUAUCAAUACUAGAAAUAUUUUGAGUGUCUUAGCACUGUAAAUAUGUCACGAGACCUCUUUUGACAGCUAGUGUAAAGAAUUACAAGGUUUUAAUCACCCAUUUUAAUUUGUUAUUAAUUACCACUUUCCUGUGGCCUCUGGUCUUGACUUAAUUGAACCUGAUCAAACAGCAUGCUUUUUUGGUUUUAUUAUUAAAAUUUCUCCUUGUUUUUUGAUUGAAUAUUGUUUCAUUUUCUUUCAGUUUUGUACUUCAGAUUUUGGUUCUUGCUUGUGAGAAGUUGAUCUUCAGAAUUAUUUUUACACUAUUUAUGAUUUAUUUUCAUAAUGUAAAAAGUGUGUAAUUAUUAAAAUAUUAAUCCAA
RNAcentral lists this long non-coding RNA (1103 nucleotides) under Strigops habroptila (Kakapo). Its description in RNAcentral is "lncRNA (ENSSHBG00005010997.1)". The record is from RNAcentral. Lineage: Eukaryota; Metazoa; Chordata; Aves; Psittaciformes; Psittacidae.